CCUACGGGAGGCAGCAGUGAGGAACAUUGGUCAAUGGACGAGAGUCUGAACCAGCCAAGUAGCGUGAAGGAUGACUGCCCUAUGGGUUGUAAACUUCUUUUAUAUGGGAAUAAAACGUUCCACGUGUGGGAUUUUGUAUGUACCAUAUGAAUAAGGAUCGGCUAACUCCGUGCCAGCAGCCGCGGUAAUACGGAGGAUCCGAGCGUUAUCCGGAUUUAUUGGGUUUAAAGGGAGCGUAGGUGGAUUGUUAAGUCAGUUGUGAAAGUUUGCGGCUCAACCGUAAAAUUGCAGUUGAAACUGGCAGUCUUGAGUACAGUAGAGGUGGGCGGAAUUCGUGGUGUAGCGGUGAAAUGCUUAGAUAUCACGAAGAACUCCGAUUGCGAAGGCAGUUCACUGGACUGCAACUGACACUGAGGCUCGAAAGUGUGGGUAUCAAACAGGAUUAGAUACCCUAGUAGUC
RNAcentral lists this ribosomal RNA (460 nucleotides) under uncultured bacterium. RNAcentral describes it as "partial 16S ribosomal RNA". It matches the Rfam family "Bacterial small subunit ribosomal RNA", at positions 338 to 795 of the family's 1533-position model. The record is from RNAcentral.